AUUGAACGCUGGCGGAAUGCUUUACACAUGCAAGUCGAACGGCAGCACGGACUUCGGUCUGGUGGCGAGUGGCGAACGGGUGAGUAAUGUAUCGGAACGUGCCCAGUCGUGGGGGAUAACGUAGCGAAAGCUACGCUAAUACCGCAUACGAUCUACGGAUGAAAGCGGGGGAUCGCAAGACCUCGCGCGAUUGGAGCGGCCGAUAUCAGAUUAGGUUGUUGGUGAGGUAAAAGCUCACCAAGCCUGCGAUCUGUAGCUGGUCUGAGAGGACGACUAGCCACACUGGAACUGAGACACGGUCCAGACUCCUACGGGAGGCAGCAGUGGGGAAUUUUGGACAAUGGACGCAAGUCUGAUCCAGCAAUGCCGCGUGCAGGACGAAGGCCUUCGGGUUGUAAACUGCUUUUGUACGGAACGAAACGGUGAGCUCUAAUACAGUUCGCUAAUGACGGUACCGUAAGAAUAAGCACCGGCUAACUACGUGCCAGCCGCCGCAGUAA
This 500-nucleotide ribosomal RNA is filed under the name uncultured bacterium. RNAcentral's name for it is "partial 16S ribosomal RNA". It matches the Rfam family "Bacterial small subunit ribosomal RNA", at positions 30 to 523 of the family's 1533-position model. The record is from RNAcentral.